Molecule: unclassified non-coding RNA, 410 nt
Filed under: fungal sp.
Lineage: Eukaryota; Fungi
Description: partial internal transcribed spacer region
Rfam family: Eukaryotic small subunit ribosomal RNA (bases 1-46)
Source: RNAcentral
AAGUCGUAACAAGGUUUCCGUAGGUGAACCUGCGGAAGGAUCAUUAACACGUAUCCAACGUAAAAAACCCCCCUGUGAACAUUCAAACCUGCUCUCGUAGCCCAGUGCGUCCAGCAAUCCCGGUAAAUCAUUGUCGAACAGUAUUGAUUCGGGACUUCUGACAAAUGAGAAGUUACAGUUACGAUUGAGCGGAGAUAGCUGCAUGGCAUUCCCAGCAAUCAGUGUCUGACAGUGUCAUUGAUUGUCGAUGGGGAUCUCGCCUCAACGAUUGCCGAGAGUCGCUCACCGACCGGCAGACAUGCAACCGGGUCCCCACGCCCCUUUAUAACCCCAUUACCUCUGUGAGUCUACGGGAAACCAGUAGGCUAAAAAACCUCGAACAACUGUUAACAAUGGAUAUCUUGGUUCUC